Molecule: long non-coding RNA, 1338 nt
Filed under: Prunus persica (peach)
Lineage: Eukaryota; Viridiplantae; Streptophyta; Magnoliopsida; Rosales; Rosaceae
Description: long non-coding RNA (PPER_LNC000100)
Source: RNAcentral
CGUACAUCACAGUGACAUUACAAGAAAUUAAACACACAUAACACAUCUCUUAUUCUACGUAAUGACAUGAACUUAGCAAGCUAGUCAUUCAUGCAUGCAUGAUCAGAGCUAGUCAUUCAUGCAUGCAUGAUCAGUUUCAGUUGGGAAAUGGAAGUUUGUGAGGUGGCUUGACAGGGCCAGUUGGGGGCUUUAGUUUCCUCGGUGGCUUUGAUGGGUCUCUUCCACCCUCCACCACAUUCUGUUCAAGAUGGCGAUCGUGAUGAGGUGGCUUGUCUCCCUUGCCCUUAGGAGGCUGAUCAACUGGCUUGGGCUCUGGCUUGGGCUCUGGGAAUGGCUUGUGCUCAUCAAGUGGGGUUGGUGGCUUGGGUUUUGUGGGUGGCUUCGGCUUCUUUCCCUGAGGAGGCAAUUUCCCAUCCAAUGGCUCCUCUAGCAAACGAGUUCUGGUUUCUUGUUUGUGAUGAGGCGGUUUCUCACCCUUUGGAGGCUGAUCAACUGGCUUUGGUUCUGGCUUGGGCUCUGGCUUGGGCUCUGGGAAUGGCUUGUGCUCAUCAAGUGGGGUUGGUGGCUUGGGUUUUGUGGGUGGCUCCGGCUUCUUUCCCUGAGGAGGCAAUUUCCCAUCCAAUGGCUCCUCUAGCAAACGAGUUCUGGUUUCUUGUAUGUGAUGAGGCGGCUUCUCACCCUUUGGAGGCUGAUCAACUGGCUUUGGUUCUGGCUUGGGCUCGGGCUUGGGCUCUGGCUUGGGCUCUGGGAAUGGCUUGUGCUCAUCAAGUGGGGUUGGUGGCUUGGGUUUUGUGGGUGGCUUCGGCUUCUUUCCCUGAGGAGGCAAUUUCCCAUCCAAUGGCUCCUCUAGCAAACGAGUUCUGGUUUCUUGUUUGUGAUGAGGCGGCUUCUCACCCUUUGGAGGCUCGUCGUUGCCCGGGUUUCCUUUGUGCUCUGGUGGUGGCUUCUCUCCUUUUCUUGGUGGCUCAUCUCUUGGGUGUCCUGGUUCAUGCUCAGGUGGUGGUUUCUCUCCUUUUCUCGGUGGCUCAUCUCCCGGGUGCUCAGGUGGUGGCUUCUCAUCCUUGUGAGGCUCAUCACCUGGUUUCUCCUUUGGUGGUGGCUUUUGUCCCUUAGGAGGCUCAUUGUUCUCUGGUGGAGGCUUUUUUCCCUUUGGAGGCUCAUUGUUCUCUGGUGGAGGCUUCUUUCCCUUUGGAGGCUGGUCAUUGCGCUCUGGUGGUGGCUUUUGUACCUGGGGAGGCUGGUCAUUGCGCUCUGGAGGUGGCUUUUCUCCCUUGGGAAAUUGGCCCUCCACCUCUAACAAAUGGUGUUCGUUGUGGGGUGGCUUGUCAACUGGUGGAG